Molecule: ribosomal RNA, 495 nt
Filed under: uncultured bacterium
Lineage: Bacteria
Description: partial 16S ribosomal RNA
Rfam family: Bacterial small subunit ribosomal RNA
Source: RNAcentral
GACGAACGCUGGCGGCGUGCCUAAUACAUGCAAGUAGAACGCUGAAGGAGGAGCUUGCUUCUCUGGAUGAGUUGCGAACGGGUGAGUAACGCGUAGGUAACCUGCCUGGUAGCGGGGGAUAACUAUUGGAAACGAUAGCUAAUACCGCAUAAUAGUAGAUGUUGCAUGACAUUUGCUUAAAAGGUGCAAUUGCAUCACUACCAGAUGGACCUGCGUUGUAUUAGCUAGUUGGUGGGGUAACGGCUCACCAAGGCGACGAUACAUAGCCGACCUGAGAGGGUGAUCCGCCACACUGGGACUGAGACACGGCCCAGACUCCUACGGGAGGCAGCAGUAGGGAAUCUUCGGCAAUGGACGGAAGUCUGACCGAGCAACGCCGCGUGAGUGAAGAAGGGUUUCGGAUCGUAAAGCUCUGUUGUAAGAGAAGAACGAGUGUGAGAGUGGAAAGUUCACACUGUGACGGUAUCUUACCAGAAAGGGACGGCUAACUACGUG